RNAcentral lists this ribosomal RNA (495 nucleotides) under Bacilli bacterium 01A. RNAcentral's name for it is "bacterial SSU rRNA". It matches the Rfam family "Bacterial small subunit ribosomal RNA", at positions 900 to 1396 of the family's 1533-position model. Lineage: Bacteria; Bacillati; Bacillota; Bacilli. The record is from RNAcentral.
CUUAAAGGAAUUGACGGGGAGGCGCACAAGCGGUGGAGCAUGUGGUUUAAUUCGAAGCAACGCGAAGAACCUUACCAGGUCUUGACAUCCUCUGACAACCCUAGAGAUAGGGCUUCUCCUUCGGGAGCAGAGUGACAGGUGGUGCAUGGUUGUCGUCAGCUCGUGUCGUGAGAUGUUGGGUUAAGUCCCGCAACGAGCGCAACCCUUGAUCUUAGUUGCCAUCAUUAAGUUGGGCACUCUAAGGUGACUGCCGGUGACAAACCGGAGGAAGGUGGGGAUGACGUCAAAUCAUCAUGCCCCUUAUGACCUGGGCUACACACGUGCUACAAUGGACGGUACAAAGAGCUGCAAGACCGCGAGGUGGAGCUAAUCUCAUAAAACCGUUCUCAGUUCGGAUUGUAGGCUGCAACUCGCCUACAUGAAGCUGGAAUCGCUAGUAAUCGCGGAUCAGCAUGCCGCGGUGAAUACGUUCCCGCCCUUUGCACACACCGCCGG